This 253-nucleotide ribosomal RNA is filed under the name uncultured bacterium. RNAcentral describes it as "partial 16S ribosomal RNA". It matches the Rfam family "Bacterial small subunit ribosomal RNA", at positions 524 to 776 of the family's 1533-position model. The record is from RNAcentral.
UACGUAGGGGGCAAGCGUUGUCCGGAAUCAUUGGGCGUAAAGCGCGUGUAGGCGGCCCGGUAAGUCCGCUGUGAAAGUCGGGGGCUCAACCCUCGAAUGCCGGUGGAUACUGUCGGGCUAGAGUGCGGGAGAGGCGAGUGGAAUUCCUGGUGUAGCGGUGAAAUGCGCAGAUAUCAGGAGGAACACCAGCGGCGAAGGCGCUGCUCUGGGCCGGUACUGACGCUGAGGAGCGAAAGCGUGGGGAGCGAACAGG